Molecule: ribosomal RNA, 253 nt
Filed under: uncultured bacterium
Lineage: Bacteria
Description: partial 16S ribosomal RNA
Rfam family: Bacterial small subunit ribosomal RNA
Source: RNAcentral
UACGUAGGUGACCAGCGUUGUCCGGAUUUACUGGGCGUAAAGAGCGCGCAGGCGGUCGUACAAGUCGCGUGUGAAAGCCCCUGGCUCAACUGGGGAGGGUCACGCGAUACUGUUCGACUCGAAGGCAGGAGAGGGAAGUGGAAUUCCCGGUGUAGUGGUGAAAUGCGUAGAUAUCGGGAGGAACACCAGUGGCGAAGGCGACUUCCUGGCCUGUUCUUGACGCUGAGGCGCGAAAGCUAGGGUAGCAAACGGG